UCGCGCCUCUUCCCUCCCUCUCCCCCUUCUACUGUGUCCUCUCCUGAUUUUCCUCCCCGAGGAAGUCGGCCAGUGGAAUCUCGGCCGAUACAAACGCGUGGAACGGCAUCUAGUUGGCAGGGAAGCGCGUCGAGUGGACAGUUGGGAGUCGGAAGAGAGCGUAUGCGCCAUAUGUACAUAAUUACCACGGGCCAAUCGGGGAUUGAAAGCGGUGCACAAGUUUGUCGUAGCGUCGAAGCUCCAGGGUCUGGCUCGUCCCGUUGGUUCCCUCGCGUGCGUGCAUAAGCGCGCGCGCACACACAGCCGCGCAACGGUGGUUCAGUUGGUUAUUGACGUUCGUGUGCACGGGGCGCGUUGCUAGACUCUGUUCAACCACACUCUGUUCGAAAGUCGGGAACAGUAGCGAAAGGGAAAGAGGGAAUUGGCGCGUGGGUAUCUUUCGCUCGCUCCUUCCAAGAUCCCAAGAGAGGAAAUCGGAUACCGAAGAGAAGAGAGAAGAAGGAGUCGAAGGAGAAAAUAACCACUUCGGGACCGGAAAAAAAAGGAAAGACGAGUGACUGUGAUCGCCGCCCGGAAAAAAAUAUCCGAGCGAGGAGAGAGAGGCUGGUGCGGAACCGAGCUACAUGGCUCCGAAAAUUAUUCCUUCUUUCCACCGUCCACGCGUUCUUUGCUAUCCACGUUCGAGCGAGCACCACCGGUUCGAUCAACCGAAGGGGACCUCUAAAUAAUUCUCGAAUAAUUCUUGGAUUGAUUUUCGUUUCGUCGAGACGAAGAAGAGCGAAGAAGUCCAUCCAGAUUUCCACUUCCAACCUCCGCGCUGUGUCGGGUGUUAAAUCGCAUCUUGAACACGAUAUAACACGAGAGUGGACACGAGUACGGACGACCGUGCGACAAGGGAGAGCGUAAAGGGAGAACACAAAGAAGGAAGAGAGUGCGAAGGCAUGACGAGCAUGACGAGCAUGCGAACGAUGCCGCCCGUUUAACGAAUCGCCGUUUAUAAUAUUUUAUUACACGGUUGGAAAACUGCUCUCUCUACACUGGUCAAAGCUUAUGUCACACGGAAGACGAAAGAGGAGAAAAGCGACGAGAGAGAAAGAACGACGUGACACAGUGAAAAAAGAGAGGACGGAAGAUCGGGGAUGCAUGUUCCAGGACAAUAAUCGUGACAGUAGCGAUAAUCGUGAAACGUGAGCUUCCUUCGAUCUCUUCGAAUUGUUAAAGUGAUUCAAUCUCUCUUUUCGCGUGGUUGGAUUGCGAGUCGACUCAUCGUCUCUCUCUUCAACGAUUUCGAUGCUUUGUUUUCGCAAACUAAUGUUCACGCUUGUACGAACAGAAACCUUUUCAACGUGCGAUCGACGUGCACGCAUCACGCUUCUUCGAUCACCCCCUUCUCGCCCCCUUUCUUUCGUCUGAUUUCGUACAUUUCGAAAUUCGCGUUCGUCCUUUUCCCAUCUCUUUCCGUUCCGUAUUAUAAUAUUCGCGCGCGUCGAAAUCGAAAACGAAAACAAAUCGCGCCCUACGUACGACGAUUUUAUAACAAUAAUAUAACAAGAACAACAAUAAUACGAUCUACGCCGUAUCGAUUAAAUUAGUCUUCUCUCAGAUAUAUAUUUGAAUCGACGAGUUGCGAUUCCCGCUCGAAUCAUCCUUCUCCCUCGUAAAAACAUCGCACGAGGUUUUUUGCGACGAGCCACGAGGUUUUUCAACCGUCGUUUUUUCAAACGAGACGUCGCGAUACCGCGUCGAUCGAUGCUGAGAAAAAACACAAUUUUUCACGACGUAAGACGUAAGGACAAGAAGGCGAAUAGGGAGAAGAAGAAUAACAAUACCUCUCUACGCGUGUACUCUCUCCUUCCCUUUGUUCGCGGAAAGGUGUCUGCGUCCGCGUGGGAGCCGUUUCGACGAGGUGGCGCGUUCUUCGUACCAGGCAUGCCUUCCGCGUUAUCCUGAGCGAUUUUUUCCUACUCGGUGGAUAUAAUUAUAUUUCUAAGAGAUAAUUAUUUAAAGAAGAAGAAGAAGAAGAAGAAGAAAAAAAGAUAGAUGAUUAAAAGAAUAUUCUUGUAAUAUAAAGAGAAAAAGAAAAAAAACAUAAGAUCCUCUUAUUGGGGGAUUCUUUAUUUGUUGAACUGCCGUCGCUGUUCUUCGUAGUCGUUGACGCGUCGUCGUCCUUGUUGUUAUUGUUACACAACCGUUGUUGCACCGUCUCGUGUAAUAGUUUCUCGUCGCUGCCAUUCUACUACGCCGUUCUCCUCUCGUCUCCCUUGCCUCCGGUGAUUGUGUCGUGUGUCGGUGGUUUUCUCCACCGCCCUCCCCUCCCUCCCCCCUCUCUCCAACCCCCCGUCGCCACCCUUCCAAAAAAAUAUCACACACUCUUUUCUAAACAUCGACAAACUUGACCCUUUGCUCGAUCCGAUCUGCGAGUCCAUUUUUUCCCCCCAAAAACAAAAUAAAGAAAGAGAGAGAGAGAGAGAGAGAAAAAGGGAAGAACGUUCGAACUCGUCUUUUCGUCUUGGAAACAAAGAACUCCGAAGUGAAGCAUGGUAGUCAAGAACGAGAAUACGAGAAAUGGGCAUGAGCUGGCUCCAUUGAACGAGGAACGUCAGGCAGGGCAAAACGUGACAAUCGUGGUAACCGGGAAUCAAAAUGCUGCUGGCAGUCAAGAGACCAAAGAGGAGAACAGGGCGGAAUGGAGCGGGAAGAUGCAAUUUUUCCUCAGUAUUAUCGGUUACAGCGUGGGACUUGGGAAUAUAUGGAGAUUCCCUUACCUGUGCCAACAGAACGGAGGAGGUGCCUUUCUCAUCCCCUUUUUCGUGAUGCUAAUCCUAGAGGGUGUACCCCUCUUUUUAAUCGAGCUGGGUCUCGGUCAACGCAUGCGACAGGGCGCCCUUGGUGUAUGGAACACGAUACAUCCAUGGUUAGGCGGUAUAGGGAUAGCAUCGUGCAUCGUCACCUUCUUCGUAGCACUUUAUUACAACGUCAUCAUUACCUGGUGCUUCUAUUAUCUUUUCAAUUCGCUGGAGGCCGUCACGAUUAAAGCUGGCGAACCGUUACCAUGGGCGAAAUGUCCGGAGGUUGAUGGGAAGCCGGUCGAGGAAUGCGUGAAGAGUUCGGAAACUGCCUAUUUUUGGUACAGAACCACUCUGGACGCGGCACCCUCAAUCGAGGAAGGAUCGAGCGGUCUGAAAUGGUGGAUCGUCCUUUGUCUACUGUUGAGUUGGAUCGUCGUCUUCUUUAUCGUGAUGAAGGGAAUACAAUCGUCGGGGAAGGUGGUAUAUUUUACAUCCAUGUUCCCGUAUUUGGUGCUUACUAUCUUUUUUAUUCGUGGAAUAACGUUAAAAGGUGCCAGCGCUGGAUUGGCCCACAUGUACACGCCAAAGAUCGAGAAGCUGUUAGAGCCGACGGUGUGGCUCGACGCAGCGACGCAAGUUUUUUAUAGUUUCGGACUAGCGUUCGGCUCCCUGAUCGCGUUCGGAUCUUACAACACUCCAGACAACCACUGCGUCCGGGACGUGAUUCUGGUUAGCUGUUGCAACGCCUUCACCGCAAUUUACGCGAGUGUCGUGAUAUUCGCCAUUUUAGGCUUUAAGGCGAUGACAAAUGUCGAUAAGUGCCUCGCAGGUAACAAAGACUUACUCGUUCAACACGGAUUUGCCUAUCAGAAUACCACCAUGAAGGAAUACGAGAGUAUUGUAAAUAAUAUCACUGCAACGAACAUGAAUUUCACCCUUGAAACGUGUAGCCUGAGCGAACAAUUGGACAACGCUGCCGAAGGAACGGGAUUAGCUUUCAUAGUGUUCACACAGGCGAUAGUCGAGCUACCAGGCGCUCCUUUCUGGUCCUGUAUUUUCUUUCUGAUGCUUUUAGCCCUCGGUCUCGGUUCCCAAAUCGGUAUACUAGAGGGCAUGCUGUGCGUCAUCUUCGACAUAGAUCUGUUCAAGAGAAUAAAAAAGCAAUACAUGACAGGGGUAGUUUGCACGGUGUGCUUCUUUGUUGGUUUAAUAUUCUGUACCGGAGCCGGAGAAUAUUGGCUAAAGAUGUUCGACAGUUUCGCAGGUACCAUCGGUCUCGUGAUGGUCGCGCUCAUGGAAAUGAUAUCCGUCAUCUUUGUUUACGGCCACGAAAAAUUCACGAAAGAUAUCGAAGAGAUGACAGGAUACAGACCAGGGGCGUAUUGGCAAUUCACCUGGCGAUUUCUCGCCCCUAUAAUCAUGGUCUGCAUCCUUGUCUCCAGUAUAAUCUCCAUGGUUGUGAAGAAGCCUCAAUAUUCCGCGUGGGAUGCGUCACGGGGCAUAGCUGUACCCACCGCGUAUCCCGGCUGGGUGUUGGCUAUAGCGGUCGUCAUCAUUUUUGCGGGCAUCGCGCCAAUACCGAUUGUAUUCCUUUUGAGGCGGUUCCAAUGCGUCAAGUUGGACGUUGACAUUCACCAAGGCAGCAUACGACGUAUCGAUACCACCGUUUCUACCAAAGAAAUGAUGGGAGAUGUCGAUACAACGUAGAGACGUAGUCAUCGUAAUAGAAGGACAACUUAAUUGGCGCACCGAGAGAGAGAGAGAGAGAGAGAGAAACAUGUCACGAUUACCCGUGAUUAGAGCAAGUCUCAGGUGGGAAUCGGGAAGAAGAAUUACAUUUACUCAAAGUGCGUCGAUUAAGCCUUAAGAAUGAGAGCAUUUAAGAUUUACGUUGGACGUACCUGCAGUUAUAGGAAAGCGUCCGUUCUGUGUGCGGUAACGUCGAUUAAUCGCUUCUUCUAUAGCUACCUUACACUUGGACGAGUACCACGACCGCCUCGAAGAUUUUCCCGAGGAGGACGAAGACGUGAACAGCGAUGACGACAACAACAGUGCCCCGCCGAUAACGAAGAUCGUCCCCAACAAACUUCAGGGUAAACCGUUCAAAAUGGAAGUGAUGGACUUUUAAAAGUUGUCAGGUUCGUCGACUUUUGUCGUAUCGUUUCACCUUACGUGACGACAGAACAUGGAAAGAGGGUUGAUCGAACAUUCUCGCCCCUUUCGAAUUUCGAUUCUCAGGAAACGCGUAAGACGAUACGAAAUAAUUGCAGGUACGAAUCGACGAAUGAGAGAGAGAGAGAGAGCGAGCGAGAGCGAGAGAGAAAGAGAAAGAGAGAAUUGGUGCUUUUCGAGAGCAAUACUAAAUAACUUCCGUCGAAUCCGUGUACACGAAUGUGACACGAGAUUAGCGUGUACGAAGCAAAUAAAAAAGAGGGAGAAAAAGCGGAGAAAACUUAGAAAAAUACUCGGUCGAUUCUAAUCGCAUUCGAAAUCGCUUCGUCGCGCCUCCGCUUACUUCACUUCGAUCGUUCGAUCGAUUUUAUCGAGAUCUAAAUUAAUUUUAACUGACUGAACGUUAUCGUGCGACGAUCGGUAUUUAUUUUCGGCUAUUUUAUUUAAUCAUUUGAUUAUAAUCGGCAUCGCAUAGCGAGUAACGAAAGGAGAAAAAAAAAAAAAAAAAAAAAAAGAAAAAA
RNAcentral lists this unclassified non-coding RNA (5482 nucleotides) under Apis florea (little honeybee). RNAcentral describes it as "sodium- and chloride-dependent transporter XTRP3, transcript variant X7". Lineage: Eukaryota; Metazoa; Arthropoda; Insecta; Hymenoptera; Apidae. The record is from RNAcentral.